This 24-nucleotide non-coding RNA is filed under the name Cricetulus griseus (Chinese hamster). The record is from RNAcentral. Lineage: Eukaryota; Metazoa; Chordata; Mammalia; Rodentia; Cricetidae. RNAcentral also lists the same sequence under 1 other name.
CUCACUCUGUAGAUUAGGCUGGCC